GCUUACGGCCAUACCAGCCUGAAAGCGCCCGAUCUCGUCAGAUCUCAGAAGCUAAGCAGGGUUGGGCCUGGUUAGUACUUGGAUGGGAGACUUCCUGGGAAUACCUGGUGCUGUAAGAA
RNAcentral lists this ribosomal RNA (119 nucleotides) under Hucho hucho (huchen). Lineage: Eukaryota; Metazoa; Chordata; Actinopteri; Salmoniformes; Salmonidae. The record is from RNAcentral.